This 482-nucleotide ribosomal RNA is filed under the name uncultured bacterium. Its description in RNAcentral is "bacterial SSU rRNA". It matches the Rfam family "Bacterial small subunit ribosomal RNA", at positions 35 to 507 of the family's 1533-position model. The record is from RNAcentral.
GCUGGCGGCAAGCCUUACACAUGCAAGUCGAGCGGUAACAUUUCUAGCUUGCUAGAAGAUGACGAGCGGCGGACGGGUGAGUAAAGCAUAGGAAUCUGGCCAAUAGAGGGGGAUAGCCCGGAGAAAUCCGGAUUAAUACCGCAUACACUCUAUGGAGAAAAAGCAGGGGAUCUUCGGACCUUGCGCUAUUGGAUGAGCCUAUGUCGGAUUAGUUAGUUGGUGGGGUAAAGGCCUACCAAGGCAGCGAUCCGUAGCUGGUCUUAGAGGAUGAUCAGCCACAUCGGGACUGAGACACGGCCCGAACUCCUACGGGAGGCAGCAGUGGGGAAUAUUGCACAAUGGGCGCAAGCCUGAUGCAGCUAUGCCGCGUGUGUGAAGAAGGCCUUAGGGUUGUAAAGCACUUUCAGUAGUGAGGAAAAGUGUUGUGUUAAUAGCGCUAUGCUGUGACGUUAGCUACAGAAGAAGGACCGGCAAACUCCGUG